AUAAAGUGGAUUAGCGGCGGACGGUGGGUAACACGUGAGUAACCUGCCUUAGACAUUGGGAUAGCCUCGGGAAACCGGGAUUAAUACCAAAUAAAAUCAUAAUGACACAUGUCAUAACGAUCAAAACUCCGGUGGUCUAAGAUGGACUCGCGUCCCAUUAGCUAGUUGGUAGAGUAAAAGCCUACCAAGGCGACGAUGGGUAGCCGGCCUGAGAGGGUGAACGGCCACAUUGGAACUGAGAAACGGUCCAA
This 251-nucleotide ribosomal RNA is filed under the name uncultured Eubacteriales bacterium. RNAcentral describes it as "uncultured Clostridiales bacterium partial 16S ribosomal RNA". It matches the Rfam family "Bacterial small subunit ribosomal RNA", at positions 82 to 334 of the family's 1533-position model. The record is from RNAcentral. Lineage: Bacteria; Bacillati; Bacillota; Clostridia; Eubacteriales.